Molecule: long non-coding RNA, 1509 nt
Filed under: Carassius auratus (goldfish)
Lineage: Eukaryota; Metazoa; Chordata; Actinopteri; Cypriniformes; Cyprinidae
Description: lncRNA (ENSCARG00000035899.1)
Source: RNAcentral
AUGGUAAUGAUUAUUAUAUCCUUCCUGAAGUAUUUACACAGAAAAGAAAUGCCAGUCACAGUGGAUAAUAUGAUCCGGCCGGAGGAUCUGGCUAAAUGGCCUCAUCUAUCAAGUGUGCGCAUCCCAAGUGUGAAGGCAGAUGUUGACCUAUUGAUUGGAACUAACGCACCCAAGGUAUUAGAACCCUGGGAGGUCAUAAAUAGCGGCCAGAAUGGCCCGUACGCUAUUAGGACAGUGCUGGGAUGGGUGGUUAAUGGCCCACUGAGUGGAAACAGUGAUGCAUCAUUAUCCUCAGCCACAGUGAACCACAUUUCUCUGCAAAGGCUCGAAGAUAUGCUUGUCAGUCAAUACAACCAUGACUUCAGUGAGAAGGCUGCAGAGGAAAAGGAAAUGUCUCGAGAUGACAUCAGAUUUAUAGAGAUCAUGGAUUCAGCAGUGCUGCAAGAUGGAAGGUACUGUUUAAAGUUUCCCUUCAAAAAAAAGGAUGUUUCUCUGCCUAAUAACCUGGUUGUGGUGAAGCAAAGGAUGCAGGGCUUAAGAAGAUGGUUCUUGAGUAAUGACGGCUUGCACCAGGAGUACGCACAGUAUGUGAAUGGCCUUAUCGAUAACACCUAUGCAGAACUUGUGCCCCAGCAGAAGCUUCAGGGUGAGCCUGGAAGAGUGUGGUACAUCCCUCACCAUGCGGUCCAUCACCCAAGGAAAGGAACACUUCGGGUUGUGUUCGAUUGUGGAGCCACUUUUCAAGGAGCAUCCUUGAAUAAGGAGCUGCUUCAGGGCCCUAACCUCACCAGCUCGCUGCUUGGGGUCCUGUUUUGUUUCAGAGAGGAACCUGUAGCAUUUAUGGGUGAUAUAAAAGCCAUGUUCCACCAGGUAAAAGUAGCAGAAGAAGAUCGUGACUUUCUCCGUUUUCUCUGGUGGCCAAACGGAGAUAUUACCCAGGACUUGAUGGAGCACAGGAUGAUAGUUCGCUUGUUUGGUGCUGUGUCCUCUCCCAGUUGUGCAAGCUAUGCGCUGAGAAAAGGUGCCGAUGAUCAUCAGUUUGAGUUUGCUGCCAAUGUAUGUCAAGCUGUCAAGAAAAACUUUUAUGUGGAUGACAUUUUGAAGAGCUCUGCCACUGAAGGGGAUGCUAUACAGAUGAUCCAAGACCUAACUUUACUGUGUCAGAAGGGAGGUUUUGUCUUGGAGAAGUGGAUUAGCAACAGCCGCGCCGUCUUGCAUGCCAUUGCUACAGAGCGUAGGGCUAAGGAUUUAAAGGAAUUGGAUCUUGAUCGGGACAAGCUGCCAGUGGAGACAGCUCUGGGUCUAUUUUGGUCUGUAGAAACAGACUCCUUCAAAUUUAAGAUCAAAGUAAGGCAACGGCCACUUACCAGAUGUGGUAUGCUGUCAACCAUCUGCUCAGUGUAUGACCCCCUAGGCUUCCUGGCACCAACACUGGCUGCAAAAGUGAUGCAGCAGGAAUUAUGUCGAAGAAGAUGUGCAUGGGAUGAUGCCUUACCAUCUGACAGCUAA